Molecule: unclassified non-coding RNA, 405 nt
Filed under: soil metagenome
Description: partial contains 5.8S ribosomal RNA, internal transcribed spacer 2, and large subunit ribosomal RNA
Rfam family: 5.8S ribosomal RNA (bases 1-121)
Source: RNAcentral
GAUGAAGAACGCAGCGAAAUGCGAUAAGUAAUGUGAAUUACAGAAUUCAGUGAAUCAUCGAAUCUUUGAACGCACCUUGCGCCCUUUGGACAUUCCGAAGGGCAUGCCUGUUUGAGUAUCAUGAACACCUCAACUCUCACGGCUUGUCCGUGAUGAGCUUGGACUUUGGGGGUCUUGCCGGCCUGUGGUCGGCUCCUCUCAAAUGGAUCAGCUUGCCAGUGUUUGGUGGCAUCACAGGUGUGAUAACUAUCUGCGCUUGUGGUUUUCCAUCAGAUAACCUUCAGUGAUAUGGAGGUUCGCUGGAGCUCACAAAUGUCUCUCCUUAGUGAGGACAGCUCUUUGAACGUUUGAUCUCAAAUCAGGUAGGACUACCCGCUGAACUUAAGCAUAUCAAUAAGCGGAGGA